RNAcentral lists this ribosomal RNA (213 nucleotides) under uncultured bacterium. RNAcentral's name for it is "partial 16S ribosomal RNA". It matches the Rfam family "Bacterial small subunit ribosomal RNA", at positions 32 to 253 of the family's 1533-position model. The record is from RNAcentral.
AAUCAACGCUGGCGGCGUGCCUAACACAUGCAAGUCGCACGAGAAAGUGGGAGCAAUCCAUGAGUAAAGUGGCGCACGGGUGAGUAACACGUGAAUAAUCUACCUCCGAGUGGGGGAAUAACUGAGAGAAAUCUUAGCUAAUACCGCAUAAUACCCACGGGUCAAAGCAGCAAUGCGCUUGGAGAGGAGUUCGCGGCCGAUUAGCUAGUUGGG